Molecule: ribosomal RNA, 328 nt
Filed under: uncultured eukaryote
Lineage: Eukaryota
Description: partial 18S ribosomal RNA
Rfam family: Eukaryotic small subunit ribosomal RNA
Source: RNAcentral
CCCUUAGACGUUCUGGGCCGCACGCGCGCUACACUGACGGAGCCAGCGAGUAUAAACCUUGGCCGAGAGGUCUGGGAAAUCUUGUGAAACUCCGUCGUGCUGGGGAUAGAGCAUUGUAAUUAUUGCUCUUCAACGAGGAAUUCCUAGUAAGCGCAAGUCAUCAGCUUGCGUUGAUUACGUCCCUGCCCUUUGUACACACCGCCCGUCGCUACUACCGAUUGAAUGGCUUAGUGAGGCUUCCGGAUUGGUUUAGGGAAGGGGGCAACUCCAUCUUGGAACCGAGAAGCUAGUCAAACUUGGUCAUUUAGAGGAAGUAAAAGUCGUAACA